AGAGUUUGAUCCUGGCUCAGGACGAACGCUGGCGGCGCGCUUAACACAUGCAAGUCGAGCGAGAACCAGGCCUUCGGGCCUGGGGAAAGCGGCGAACGGGUGAGUAACACGUGGGUAACCCACCCUUGGCACCGGGAUAGCCCGGGGAAACCCGGAUUAAUACCGGAUGGCCCAACAGCUCUUCGGGGCGGUUGGAAAGGUAGCUUCGGCCUCCGGCCAAGGACGGGCCCGCGGCGGAUUAGCUUGUUGGUGGGGUAACGGCCUACCAAGGCGACGAUCCGUAGCUGGUCUGAGAGGACGAUCAGCCACACUGGGACUGAGACACGGCCCAGACUCCUACGGGAGGCAGCAGUGGGGAUCUUGCCC
RNAcentral lists this ribosomal RNA (366 nucleotides) under uncultured bacterium. RNAcentral describes it as "bacterial SSU rRNA". It matches the Rfam family "Bacterial small subunit ribosomal RNA", at positions 8 to 369 of the family's 1533-position model. The record is from RNAcentral.